Dipodomys ordii (Ord's kangaroo rat) is the source of this 107-nucleotide small nuclear RNA. The record is from Ensembl. Lineage: Eukaryota; Metazoa; Chordata; Mammalia; Rodentia; Heteromyidae.
GUGCUUGCUUCGGAGGUACAUAUACUAAAAUUGGAACAAUACAGAGAAGGUUCCCAUGGGCCCUGCUCAAGAAUGACACGCAAAUUCAUGAAGCAUUCCAUAUUUUU